UUUCUUCUCCCUCUGUCCGAAAAUACUUGUCAUCAAAAUGGAUAAAAAGAGAUGUAUCUAAAACUAAAAUACGUCUAGAUACAUUUCCUUUUAUCCAUUUUGAUGACAAGUAUUUCCAGACGGAGGGAGUAUUUG
Molecule: non-coding RNA, 135 nt
Organism: Triticum aestivum (bread wheat)
Lineage: Eukaryota; Viridiplantae; Streptophyta; Magnoliopsida; Poales; Poaceae
Source: Rfam